Molecule: long non-coding RNA, 823 nt
Organism: Leopardus geoffroyi (Geoffroy's cat)
Lineage: Eukaryota; Metazoa; Chordata; Mammalia; Carnivora; Felidae
Exons: 3
Source: RefSeq, a predicted model, not a curated record
UUCAGGGACCCGAACGGGGGAGAGCAAUGCGUUGCCAAGACCAUCUGGACGGUACACUUAACCCAGAUAAGGCCUCUGUAUAAACUUUGAAGUUUCUGGCAGGCGGGUGUGGAGAUCUAUGCGCCUUGCAGCUUCUCCAGAGAAGCCUCGCAUGAUGGUGUGGAGCUGAGCUGCAGUAGGAUUCUCUACGAUGAUGGAAAAAUCCUGAAUUUUCACUGCCUAAUAUUGAGGCCAUUAGACUCAUGCAGAUUUACAGAGGCGACGUGUCAGAUGGAGAAACCGAGCAAUGACAUCACAAAGGACCUACAUUAAGCCUGUGUCAUGUGUACUGUACUGUACAGAUUCCCAUCCCGAAGGCUUAGCUGUGCAAUGAAUGCGAUCAGCCGGUGUGUUAAGGUGACUUUUUCCCACCAUAAUUCUUCAAGUUUGGUGGUGUUAGUCUCAUUUUGCCAAUAAGGAAAUCAAGGUGUAGGUCAGUGAAGUAGCCUGCCUGUUCACUAAGGUGUGGAGAGAACUUCAGACCCCUGAUUGACAUCCCUGAACACCCUGUCUUGCUCCCUUUAUACCUGGCUGUCUGCUAAAUUUCAGAAACUCUGCACAGGGCAGAUGCUAUGUAAAGCCAUUGUUGCUUUCCAUGAAGAACUCGGCUGUGUGUUCCCUGGAACGUUUUAAAAUAUCCAUCAUUCAGAUAAACGUGGCCAUGACAGUUACUGAAUCUUGCAAGCCAAGUAAGGUCAUAGAUUUCUAAGAGAAUUUCUAUAUCUUCUUCAUUCUCAUUUCUGAGGGCUAAUGUAUUCAUAAUAUUUAAUUUAUUAAGGUCAAU